AAGUCGUAACAAGGUUUCCGUAGGUGAACCUGCGGAAGGAUCAUUAAUGAAUUAAUCGACAAGAUUGUCGCUGGCCUUCACUGGCAUGUGCACGUCUUGCUCAAUUCAUCCACUAUACCUCUGUGCACUUUUCAUAGGUUGGCUUAUAUAAAGAACUGUUCGCAUGAAUGGUUUGGGCCUUUCUAUGCUUUAUACAAACAUCUUUGUUAUAGAAUGUUACUUGCGAUAUAACGCAUUAUAUACAACUUUCAGCAACGGAUCUCUUGGCUCUCGCAUCGAUGAAGAACGCAGCGAAAUGCGAUAAGUAAUGUGAAUUGCAGAAUUCAGUGAAUCAUCGAAUCUUUGAACGCACCUUGCGCUCCUUGGUAUUCCGAGGAGCAUGCCUGUUUGAGUGUCAUGUUCUCCUCAACCCCCUUGGAUUUUUUAUUCGAGUGUGGGUUGGACUUGGAGGCUGCUGGAUUUUACUAUUCAGCUCCUCUUAAAUGUAUUAGUGUGAAUGUUACUGAACGUUCUCCAGUGUGAUAAUUAUCUGCGCUGUUGGACUUUGGUAGUUUAUAAGUUCACGCUUCUAACCGUCCUAACGGACAAUACACUUUACGUUUGACCUCAAAUCAGGUAGGACUACCCGCUGAACUUAA
RNAcentral lists this ribosomal RNA (638 nucleotides) under Hyphoderma sp. Its description in RNAcentral is "eukaryotic LSU rRNA". The stretch from base 244 to 397 matches the Rfam family "5.8S ribosomal RNA". The record is from RNAcentral. Lineage: Eukaryota; Fungi; Basidiomycota; Agaricomycetes; Polyporales; Hyphodermataceae.